UCAUUUUUUUAGAUCUUUGAAUAUCUACACAAAUUGGUUUUUAAACCAACAAUUUUUGUUUUUGCAGAUAAGUGUUUUCAUGUAGAUCUGCCAGUUUAUACACGAAUGGGUAUUAUUAAAUUAACUUAGUUGAACAUCUUUUCAAUUCCAGCACCAGCUUUCUUCCUUGUCUGCAUCUUCUCUUUCUCCCUCGUUUUACAUCCCUCACUUUUGUUUUUGCUCAAGUUUCUAAAAAAAGAUAUAUUAUAUAUUUUUUUGCAGAUUUGUUGAGGAAGAUCUUUAAUUUUUUCCAUAUUAGUUUCUCCGCCUCCAUGGAUGUUCUGGAGUUGGCCUCUUCCAGAAAUACCCAACUUCUUUUUUAUAUGAUUAUGCAUCUUGGUCCUCCUCAUACUUAGCCGAAAAUUACUCAGCUCCUCAUACCUGGCCGAAAAUUCCUCAGUUCAUUUCCCCUGACUGAAGCGAAAAAGAAAAGUGGAAUCAGGUAGCUUCCUAUUCUCUAUCUAUCUCUAUCCCUUCCCAUUUAUACAUACAUGUAAAAAAAUACAAAUGUUUGUAUGUGUUUCCAUCUUAAAUCAAGUUUCUUUUUGUGUCUUUUGCAGAUUCAUUUUGAAUAUACACAAAGUUUCUAUGCCAACUUACUGUAAAUUUUGAAUAUACACUAAAACCAUUUUUUCUUGGCUUUUGCAGAUCUGAGUGGUAAUACUUCCAUGAAACAUUCAGUCAAAAUCUUCUGCGAAAAAUUCUUGAUCUGCUGCAAAAAUUCAGAAAUAUUAGCUCCAUUUUAGACUUUAUGUAUAAAGUAGAAAUAAUUGUAUAAAUUUGUAUGUUAGUUGUAAUUGAAACUAAUAAUAAACAGCAAAAAAACUAAACAAAAUAAAAAGAAAAACACCAUAUAAAAACAAAUAAAAUUAAAAAUAGCAUAAAAAAUGAAAUAGAGAAAACCCAAGAUUAGAGAGAGAGAGUUUGCAA
Molecule: long non-coding RNA, 969 nt
Filed under: Salvia miltiorrhiza (redroot sage)
Lineage: Eukaryota; Viridiplantae; Streptophyta; Magnoliopsida; Lamiales; Lamiaceae
Description: long non-coding RNA (SMIL_LNC010905)
Source: RNAcentral